This 208-nucleotide non-coding RNA is filed under the name Nocardia sp. Lineage: Bacteria; Bacillati; Actinomycetota; Actinomycetes; Mycobacteriales; Nocardiaceae. The record is from RNAcentral. RNAcentral also lists the same sequence under 1 other name.
UAUUGUGCCGCCCUAGCUGGUUCGGCCGAUCAUCCAGAUCGGUCGUCGCAAGAGGGAACCCGGUGUGAGUCCGGGACUGCCCCGCAGCGGUGAACGGGAACGAAAGUCGUCAGAAGCACUGGACGAGGGUGUCUGGGAAGCGACGGCCGGUAGGAGCCGAGAAGGCGUGCCCGUGAGUCCGAAGACCUGCCAGCGACCCGCACGCGCC